UUGAUCAUGGCUCAGAACGAACGCUGGCGGCGCGUCUUAAGCAUGCAAGUCGAACGGCAAGAGGUAGCAAUACCUCCUAGAGUGGCGGACUGGUGAGUAACACGUGGGUGACAUACCCUUCAGAUGGGGAUAGCUAUUAGAAAUAGUAGAUAAUACCGAAUACGAGCACAGGGGUUAGAGAUCUGUGAGGAAAGGAGCUAAGGCUCCGCUGAAGGAAUGGCCUGCGGCCCAUUAGCUAGUUGGUGAGGUAAGAGCCCACCAAGGCGAUGAUGGGUAUCCGGCCUUAGAGGGUGAACGGACACAUUGGGACUGAGAUACGGCCCAGACUCCUACGGGAGGCAGCAGCUAAGAAUAUUCCGCAAUGGACGAAAGUCUGACGGAGCGACGCCGCGUGGAUGAAGAAGGCCGGAAGGUCGUAAAAUCCUUUUGAAACUGAAGAAUAAGCGUUGUAGGGAAUGACAGCGUGGUGACAGUAGGUUUUGAAUAAGCAACGGCUAAUUACGUGCCAGCAGCCGC
This 516-nucleotide ribosomal RNA is filed under the name uncultured bacterium. RNAcentral describes it as "bacterial SSU rRNA". It matches the Rfam family "Bacterial small subunit ribosomal RNA", at positions 13 to 518 of the family's 1533-position model. The record is from RNAcentral.